CGGCUAACUCCGUGCCAGCAGCCGCGGUAAUACGGAGGGUGCGAGCGUUAAUCGGAAUUACUGGGCGUAAAGCGCAUGCAGGUGGUUUGUUAAGUCAGAUGUGAAAGCCCGGGGCUCAACCUCGGAAUUGCAUUUGAAACUGGCAGACUAGAGUACUGUAGAGGGGGGUAGAAUUUCAGGUGUAGCGGUGAAAUGCGUAGAGAUCUGAAGGAAUACCGGUGGCGAAGGCGGCCCCCUGGACAGAUACUGACACUCAGAUGCGAAAGCGUGGGGAGCAAACAGGAUUAGAUACCCUGGUAGUCCACGCCGUAAACGAUGUCUACUUGGAGGUUGUGGCCUUGAGCCGUGGCUUUCGGAGCUAACGCGUUAAGUAGACCGCCUGGGGAGUACGGUCGCAAGAUUAAAACUCAAAUGAAUUGACGGGGGCCCGCACAAGCGGUGGAGCAUGUGGUUUAAUUCGAUGCAACGCGAAGAACCUUACCUACUCUUGACAUCCAGAGAACUUUCCAGAGAUGGAUUGGUGCCUUCGGGAACUUUGAGACAGGUGCUGCAUGGCUGUCGUCAGCUCGUGUUGUGAAAUGUUGGGUUAAGUCCCGCAACGAGCGCAACCCUUAUCCUUGUUUGCCAGCGAGUAAUGUCGGGAACUCCAGGGAGACUGCCGGUGAUAAACCGGAGGAAGGUGGGGACGACGUCAAGUCUA
This 700-nucleotide ribosomal RNA is filed under the name Vibrio vulnificus. RNAcentral's name for it is "bacterial SSU rRNA". It matches the Rfam family "Bacterial small subunit ribosomal RNA", at positions 494 to 1193 of the family's 1533-position model. The record is from RNAcentral. Lineage: Bacteria; Pseudomonadati; Pseudomonadota; Gammaproteobacteria; Vibrionales; Vibrionaceae.